Molecule: ribosomal RNA, 362 nt
Filed under: Campylobacter lanienae
Lineage: Bacteria; Pseudomonadati; Campylobacterota; Epsilonproteobacteria; Campylobacterales; Campylobacteraceae
Description: bacterial SSU rRNA
Rfam family: Bacterial small subunit ribosomal RNA
Source: RNAcentral
UAGUUGGUGAGGUAAUGGCUCACCAAGGCUAUGACGCAUAACUGGUCUGAGAGGAUGAUCAGUCACACUGGAACUGAGACACGGUCCAGACUCCUACGGGAGGCAGCAGUAGGGAAUAUUGCUCAAUGGGGGAAACCCUGAAGCAUCAACGCCGCGUGGAGGAUGACACUUUUCGGAGCGUAAACUCCUUUUGUUAGGGAAGAAUAAUGACGGUACCUAACGAAUAAGCACCGGCUAACUCCGUGCCAGCAGCCGCGGUAAUACGUAGGGUGCAAGCGUUACUCGGAAUCACUGGGCGUAAAGGACGCGUAGGCGGAUUAUCAAGUCUUUUGUGAAAUCUAAUGGCUCAACCAUUAAACUGC